Molecule: ribosomal RNA, 429 nt
Filed under: uncultured bacterium
Lineage: Bacteria
Description: bacterial SSU rRNA
Rfam family: Bacterial small subunit ribosomal RNA
Source: RNAcentral
UGGGGAAUUUUUCGCAAUGGGCGCAAGCCUGACGAAGCAACGCCGCGUGGAGGAUGAAGGCCUUCGGGUCGUAAACUCCUGUCGACCGGGACGAAAGUAGCUGGACCCAAUACGUCCGGCUAUCGACUGUACCGGUAGAGGAAGCCACGGCUAACUCUGUGCCAGCAGCCGCGGUAAUACAGAGGUGGCAAGCGUUGUUCGGAAUUACUGGGCGUAAAGGGCGCGUAGGCGGCUCUGUAUGUCCCGUGUGAAAUCCCCCGGCUCAACUGGGGAAUGGCACGGGAAACUGUAGGGCUUGAGUUCGGGAGAGGGAAGCGGAAUUCCGGGUGUAGCGGUGAAAUGCGUAGAUAUCCGGAGGAACACCGGUGGCGAAGGCGGCUUCCUGGACCGACACUGACGCUGAGGCGCGAAAGCUAGGGGAGCAAACGG